CCUACGGGGGGCAGCAGUGAGGAAUAUUGGUCAAUGGACGAGAGUCUGAACCAGCCAAGUAGCGUGAAGGAUGACUGCCCUAUGGGUUGUAAACUUCUUUUAUAUGGGAAUAAAAUGUUCCACGUGUGGGAUUUUGUAUGUACCAUAUGAAUAAGGAUCGGCUAACUCCGUGCCAGCAGCCUCGGUAAUACGGAGGAUCCGAGCGUUAUCCGGAUUUAUUGGGUUUAAAGGGAGCGUAGGUGGAUUGUUAAGUGAGUUGUGAAAGUUUGCGGCUCAACCGUGAAAUUGCAGGUGAAACUGGCAGGCUUGAGUACAGGAGAGGUGGGCGGAAUUCGUGGUGUAGCGGUGAAAUGCUUAGAUAUCACGAAGAACUCCGAUUGCGAAGGCAGCUCACUGGACUGCAACUGACACUGAGGCUCGAAAGUGUGGGUAUCAAACAGGAUUAGAUACCCCAGUAGUC
RNAcentral lists this ribosomal RNA (460 nucleotides) under uncultured bacterium. RNAcentral describes it as "partial 16S ribosomal RNA". It matches the Rfam family "Bacterial small subunit ribosomal RNA", at positions 338 to 795 of the family's 1533-position model. The record is from RNAcentral.